CCUCCCCUAAUCUUUCAGUCAUCUUCAAAGAUGCAUCUUGAAACCUCUUUUUAAGAUCUUUAUAAAUCCUCUAAGAUCUUUUAAAAUCCAUAAAUGGCUUACUUUGUGAUAGCAGUUUGAGAAAGGCUGGGAAAAUGAAGGAACUGCUUCAGGAAGUGUUGAUGCAGCCCACUCUUUGCUGAAUCUCUGUGUCGGAGAAAAAUGCUGAUUUGGUUUGUAUUUUCUACUUUUCAGAUUCCAAUUUUUACAAACGGCAUCUGGCAUCCUAUUAGUGGAAUCUCAUGAGUGCGGAGUCAGGGACAAAGGGACAUUUCGAACUGAUAUUUGGGAGUUACUAAUCAAUGUAUUUCCAUAUUAUUAGCUCUUAAAAACUGAAUGCAAGCAUAUUUAAUUAGAUUUCUACCAAAAACCGAUUUUUAAGAAGCACAGUGUUCAGGACCAGACAUUUUUAAUAACAUCUUUUUUCUUUUUGGUCCGGGGAAAUAUUUUACGGGAAUAGGAUUUGUCUUCUGCUAUGCCUCUGAGGUGUAUGUUUUUGCUUAUCCUGCUCUGUACCUGGGUAAACUGGUCUCUUCUUUAUCAACUGAGCUUUAACAUAACUUUCCCUGGAAGAACUGAAUUGAAAGUUGUUCCAGCAUCGAGGAUGUCAGCAGAGACUAGCAGAGAAGAUGUGGUAGCAAUACAAAGAUUUUAGAGGAGUGACUUAAAUUUAUAUUUCUCUUGGUCAAGAAGUUAAAAGGAUUUGGACAUCUUGAAGUAUCAGGGAAUACAAAAGGUGCUGCUUCACAGUCGUUAAGAAGUGAGUUUGUGUCGUUUGUAGGGACAUGGAUGAAUCUGGAAAACAUCAUCCUCAGCAAACUGACACAAGAACAGAAAAUGAAACACCGCAUAUCCUCACUCAUAGGUACAAGGGUGUGGACCUGCCUCGUGAUCAGAAUGCCGUAGAAAUGAGAGCUGUCAGCAAUGGGUCUCCACUGCGAAUACUCAGGAAUGAACAAGGCCAUUUUAACUCCAUGGUAAGUGUGGUAAGGGGGAAGCCAAUGUGAAAGUCAGGGAAGUCACAGUCUACUUUAAAUAUUAGUUCCU
Molecule: long non-coding RNA, 1086 nt
Filed under: Callithrix jacchus (white-tufted-ear marmoset)
Lineage: Eukaryota; Metazoa; Chordata; Mammalia; Primates; Cebidae
Description: lncRNA (ENSCJAG00000079840.1)
Source: RNAcentral